CUGGAAGCUCAACAUUAGUAUUAGCUAAAGACAUGAGUUGCUCAAUAGAUCGAAACCUAAACAUCUCAGUAGAAAUCAGAUGAGCAACAGCAGGAACUUCAACCAUCUUCGUAAACUCGUUUAGAUGGAUGGCCACAGGAGAAUCACAAAGCUUGAAAUAAUUGUUGCUUCUAGUCACAUCGAAUCCACUAAGCUCAAACAUAGCUCACUCCCUAAGAAGUUCUAGGAAUGUGUUCAGGCGAUGGACAUAUACAGAUGCUUCGAUGAGAUAAGACAACAAAAUAAGGAUAUUUGUAAUCAGAAGCUAGAAUCCGAAAAUAUGGACGACAUGACAACGAAGAAGUAAGACAGAAACUGGAAAAAAAAAUACUUGAUCAUCCAAAAAACCUUAUCGACGCCCAUUAGUUCACCCCCUUCUAAACAUUCCUUGCUUCCCAAAAUCAGAGUAAGCAAGCGUGUGACAACGGUUCGAGUACAACAUCAUGUCUUCAACUCGGAAAGGGAGAUCUGGGAAGCAGCCAUCGUUAUUGCAGGACUUUGUAUGAGUUAUGAGCUGGAAGGAGCGAUGAAUCUGUGAGGACCAUCAAGCUGGAGACGCUUAUUAUAGGUUCAUAAUCCCGAAGAAUCUGAAGAGAUAGAACUUUCUGGAGUAAAGAGACGUAGUGGAGGUCGAAUUAACUGUGAUUAAUUGCAAGGUUUAAUGGCACGAAGGUGAAGCCGUUACAAAGAUCUGCAGUUCGACGAAGAAACUGUGAUUAGGGUUCAAAGGAAAGCGGCGAUGAAGACAAUAGAGAAAGGUUUUUUUACGCCUGGGCCAUAUUAACCGGGGGUCGAAAUAUAACUAUUAUACAAACCCACACAAUUCAAUAUUUAGAAAGCCCAAAUAAUACAUACCGUAAAUGAAACAAAACGCAGGAGAGAGUUUGCUGACGUGGCAAAAGGAAGUCUCCUGAUUGGCUGAUUUAAUUGCUGACGUGGAUAGGCUCAAUGGAGCUCAUAUAUCCCUUUUAAUAUAGUAUAGAUUUUGGUCAUUUUUAUUUUUAGAGGCUAUAUUUGUGACAAAAAAAAUUUUAAUGCUAUCCUAGUCAUUUUCUCAUAUAUAAAUUAUUUUAAUGAAUAAUCAGUUUAGUCCCUAGUAUAAAAUAACUUUUCAACUAAAAUAAAAAAGUUGAUUUUUUUUCCAAUUUUUAACUCUUAUUUUUUAAAUAAUUUUAGAACAAAGUUUUAAGAACCAUUUCCUAUAGGUAUGUAAAUUAUUCGUGAAAUUAACAUAUUUUCAAACAUUUUAAAAAUACCUUUUAGACCUUAAAAUAUUCACAAAAAAUAUUUAAUAUAUAUAUAUAUAUAUAUAUAUUUAUUUAUUUAUUUAUAUUCUAAUCAUAUAAUUAGGAUUUAAAAUUACAUUAUGCAUGUCAAAAUUAUUUUCAAAAGUUUAUUGUAUUUUAGGAAUCACUUUAAAAUAUGCAACUAAUUCCUUAAAAUUACUUUAAUUUUUCUAUAAAUUUAAUGACAUUAUAUUAGGCUUCACAAUAUGGAGGAUUUUCAAAAAACAAUGUAUCUAAAAAUUAAUUUUGAAAUACAUCAGUAUACAUUUUCUUCACUAGUUCACAAAAAUUAGGUGACAAAUUAAAAAUCAGAAAAUUAUUUUUAUAAUUUUUACUUUGCAAAUUCUGACACAUAUAAAAAGUCUACUCGAUAUAUUCUAUUUACAAUCCAAUCUAUAUUUUAUCUCACAAUUUAUAAUUUUAAUUAAAAACACAUUUGAUUAAAAUUGAUAUAAAUUAUUUAAAUAUGAAGUUUUUAAAAUAUGUAAAUUAAUAUAAUUUAUUAAAUUUUUGGGGUAUAAAGAAAAACAGUUGAUUUAUAGUUUAGAGGAAACUUGUCAUAUCCCCGAUCCUAGAUAGGAUCACUGGGAUAUACCAUGGGACAGGGGAACAUAAAAACCAAUUGCAAAAUACAAAGGUAAAUGCUUCAUUGUCUGAAUAUUGGGUUUAUUUUGAGUCAUGUUUGAGCAUAAACAAGGAAACAAAGGAAAUUGAAGAAAUAGAGUUAGAUCGAGCUAAAGAAAUAGUGAGACUAGUUAGCCGACCUAGAAAGAACUUACGUCUGAGCUCAGUUAAAUUAGGUCAGCUAGAUCAGCUGAUAGUCCGAGCUCAACUACCAGCUGGCGGAAGCUCAACUCAGCUAGGAAGAGUGUUCGGGGGAAAUUAUGGACCAGUGGUCGAGCAUGGUUUGAUUAUAAUCGGUCCAUACUAAGGUGACAAAGCCUUAGCACAUGUGGCAAGAGUGCUAAGCAGUUGAGGCUGUUUUUGUCCGAAGAGGCGCGUAUGGACAUGUGUUUCACCUAGGAGGUAGUUGGACGAGUUUUCUCUAUAAAUACAAAGCUUUUGAUGCGAUUUUGGACACAUAAUUCGUAGGAAAAUACCCAAAAAUCAGAAAGGAAUGCAAAACAUAAGAGAGAAACUUGGUCGUGGAAAGGGGAAGAACUGAUUAGAGUCACGCUAAGAAAAAAAUCCGAAAACAGUUGUUUGAGAGCAAUCUGAACAUGGAUCCAAAGGAUAAAGGGAAAGAUGUGGGCACUCCUAAGUACACAUCCAAGGUGAGUGGAUGAACCGUCUAUGUCAUCGGCCAUAUAGUGGAUCGAUCAAAUCGGUUCUAGGGUUGAGCGGUUGAAAUCGGUUAUAUUCUUCUUUCUAACUUGACUGUUUAGUUCUUUUUCUCUGCAUCUUGACCAAUGGAGUUAGCCUUAGGGGCGAGUAAUGGACCAUGGAAGUAAUCCGGUCCGAUCAAGGGAUCCAUGUCAUAAGGGCUGGACACGUUAGAUCACAGAUCAUGGUCGAUUGGCUUAAUCAAUUUAUGGGUGACUCGGUUGUUCAGUGGUCAUGCUAGUUGAUCUAGAUAUGAAAACUGAACAUAUUUGACUUGAAUAAGUGACUAAAUAAGUCAAUAUUUAUAAAUGGGAAACUCAUGUUAGACUUAGAAACAAUCUGAAUGUAAGAUGCAUGAUAGAAACCGAACUCACUAAGCUAUCGUUAGUUUGCUUAUGAUUAUGUUGGUUUCAGGAACCAAAGGUGAUUGUGGGAAAGAAUUGUCUUAACCAUGAAGACUCAAAGCCAAGGAAGAUGGGUAGGGUGAUAGACUGGUUUAGGAUCAAACAUUAUAGUAGCUUAUUAUGCAACCUCAACAAUUGUAUUGAAUCUUUUGUUUUAUAAAUAAAGAAAUCAGUUUAUCCUAUCUAUCUAAAUUAUUCAUAUUGACUCUAAACAAUGAAUAAUAGAAUGACUGGACUGAAUGUUUUAAAGAAUAAGACCUUAAAUGGACUGAUUGGCUUAGACCACUUAAUGGUCAAGCAGUAAGAACUUCAUUUGGCUUAGAAGCCGGGUCUUACAUGGUGAAAGGUCUGUUUUACUGGAAAGAGUUAGCAAAAGGUAUACAUAUGUAUUUGAGAAGUUGUGUAUUUUGUCAGAGAUGCAAAUAUGACAUUGCGAGUCCGAAUUUAUUACAGCCUCUCCCUAUCCUAAGAACAGUUUGGAUUGAUAUUUCAAUGAAUUUCACUGAUGGUUUACCAAACUCGUUUGGUAAGACGGUGAUAUUUGUGGUCAACAGACUGAGCAAAGCUGGUCGUUUUGUGCUUUCGUCUCACCCUUUUACUGUCAAUUUUGUCGCUCAAACAUUCUUGGACAAUGUUUUCAAAUGGCACUGAUUUCCUCCUUCCGUUGUCAGUGACAGAGAUGUAAUCUUCCUCAGUGAUUUAUGGCAAGAACUAUGCAAGUUGCAAGGUUGUUCUCUGAAUAUGUUUACAGCUUAUCAUCCUCAGAAUGAUGGGAUAACUGAGGUGGUUGAUAGAUGUUUGGAAACUUACCUUAGAUGCAUGACGAGUGGUAAGCCUUAUAUUUAUAUGUGGAGUAAAUGGCUACAAUUAACAGAAUUUAGAUAUACCACCAACUAUCAUUCAUCUACCAUUAUCACUCCAUAUGAAGGUGUGUAUGGACCCCUGUUCGGAAACUCGCUGUGCUUUCCUCGUACGCUCGGGCUGGGCUUAGCGCCGAAUGAAAAAAUCGAAGAUUUUGUGGGGAUUAAUCGGCGAUUUAUUUUCGAUUUUAUAUGGUGUAUUGGUGAAAAGUCCAAAGAAGUUCACUUGGUGUAGCGGUUAAGGGAUGUUUUAAUUACUUAGCAACCCGACUUGAGCAAGGAUGAUGGCUUUUUGCCAUUUUUUAGCUAUAACUUAAAUGAGGGGUAAAUUUAUCAUUUACUUAGCAUUUUCUUCAUUAGGUUUUCUAGGUUUUCUGCAACAAAAACUCGACGGCUGUUCCAAUUUUUACGAGUUUUAGAUCGAUUUCUUUGUUUUUUUUGUUGUUUUCAAGUAAACUUCAUGAAUCUUAUGUAGAUUAGUUGUUUUGUAGGUUAAAACGAGUGAAAUUGUAAGACAUUUUAGGAACUCCGAUUUUUUGGCCGAAUUGCUCUAACUUGCCACGGUACUCAACCGUUCAGCGAUUUUCCGGGAGUUGACUCGCUAACUCGGCCGAGUUUUAGAACAGAGGUAUAGACAAAGUCCGCUGGUAUUUUAGAAAUUUCAUCUACUCAGGGUUCAACAUUGUAUGUAGCAGAUGACUGUUUCUCAUAGAAGUGAAAGAAGUUUUAAAAUUGGUGACUGGGUUUUCUUGAAUUUGCAGCCUCAUAGGCAGCAAUCAGUGGUGAUUCUCACUUCAUAGAAGCUUUGCUCUAAGUACUAUGGGCCAUACAAGACACUAGAAAAACAUGGAAAAAUGGUGUAUCGUCUGCAACUUCCGAAUUAAUGGUCAAAGAUUACACUCAGUUUUUCAUCUAUCACAACUAAAGAAGUUUGUAUGAGGGAAUCAUCUUCUACUUAAUUACCAUCCAUAGCUCAUUAUAGGGGUGAAUCCACUAAAAAAGGAAUGGUGUCACAUGACACCCUAUAAAUGUAAAAUCAUUUAAUUGUGGUUGUUUACUAUAUAAAACCAAUAUCUCAAAUGGUAAGUUUCAGGCAAUGAACUCAUGAAACUCUGGUUCGAUUCUUCUUUUGACCCCUUUUUCAUUAUUAGUAUAAAUAUUAAAUGCUCAUUGUCUUCGUUGUUGUUUUUCUAUGAACAACCAUUUUGAUGUGUAAACAUUUUUUUUCUUGAAACUAAUAGAUGUAUCAAAAUUUUGCGCUCAUUGUGUUUGAAGAUUCAUCUAUAAAAAAAUGUCUACAGGUAAAUAACAAUUCCGUGUUUGUUGAACAUUGAAUUUUAUCAGUAGAGUAAAUCAUAUUUUCCCUGUCAGGUCACAACAUGUCACGAAAAUAGUAUUAUCACAUAUAAUCAAAUCUUGCGAAAUCUGGCUAAUCUUGAAUCACGCCGAACCAACGUUUUUUCUUUCUAUAAUUCGAUUCACUAACAUCAUUCUUUAACCAAACUCAAGGAUAACUAUUGUUGAAGAUGGACUUUCGACCCCCACAUAGCUCCACCUACAUUGGUCCAUUAUGAAAAGAAAAAAGUCCGACUCAAAAUGAAUAAUCCAUCACUUUCUCUACAAAUAUAGUCACUUCAUUGAAAUAGAAACACUUUUUAAAGAGACAAGUAGAAUGUAAUUUUAUAAAAGUCUCAUCAGGAGAUGUAGAAGGUCAUGAGCCUAGCGGUCAUGUGCCUCCGGCAAGAUGCGCUGUCAUGUGCCUCCGGCGAGAUGCGCCCUCAUGUGCCUCCGGCGAGAUGCAGCGUCAUGUGCCUCCGUCGAGAUGCACUAUUAUGCUGGCGUCAUCACUUUGACGACGUUGCUAUCCAGCAGUGUUAUCCCAUGAAGCAUCACUCUGGAUUCACCAUCCAGCGUUAUUAUUCUGAUGGUGUCAGUCUGACGUCAGUUUCCAAAAUUGUUAUUGUGGCAGCAUAACUGGUGCCGUCGUAUGGUGUUACUCCCACGUUAUCAUUCUGCUUCGUCUCGCUAACAUCGCCAUUCAGAAUUAUCAAUCUGUGCCGUCUCUCCAGCAUCAUCUGGCGGUUGUUAUGGGUUAUCAUCCAGUGUCAUCACUCCAUCAUCACCAUGGCGUGUUGUCCACAUAUCUCGUCGUUCCAACCUUGUAUCAUUCAGAAUACCUACUUCGUCAUUUAGAUCAUCUCUAAUCUACCUCUAUUUACAUCUCAAUAUUUUUCUAAAAUAGAAAAUCUUUAUUACUGAGGUAGAUUUGCUCCAAUGUACACAUUUAUAAUCACCUUUAUAAUAGAGUUUCCCUAUUUAUAAAUGAAAAUAUAGAAAAAUGUUAUUACCAUCACUAAAUAUAAAGACAAAAAGUAGUAUUCCUCUGUAUGUUUCUCUAAAAUAGAUGAACUCAUUAUAGAGUCAUACAUUGGAGCAAAACCAGCUCUAUUAUAGAGAUCUAUAUUUUAGAAGAAAAUAUAGAUAUAUACAUUGGAGAUGAAGAUAAACUAAAAUCACCUCUAAAAUGAAAUAUAAAUGGCUUAAUCUUUAUUAUAAUAGUUAGGCCUAGGCAAAAAUACGGAACCAAAGAACCGUACCAGAAUCGAACCAAAUUACCUGAAACGGGAACCAAAACGAAACCCUUCAAUACCCGAACGGUUUCUAUAUUUCUAUAUCUGAAAUAACCAAAAUAAACCGAGAACCGAACAGAUACCCGAAUAUAUAAAAUAUUAAUUAUAUAUUCAUAUAGCAUAACUAAAUAUAUAUUUAUAAUUUAAAAAUUUAUUAAAAGUAUCCAAAAUUAUUUGAAAAUAACUAAAUAAUUAAAAAAUAUCCAAACUAUCUGAAAGUAUCUGAAACUAUUUGAAAGUAUUUGGAUAGUUUUAUUAGAAAUAUCCAAAUUAAUCCGAGAUAUUCAAAAAUUUAACCUAAAUCAUCGUAAUUAUUUGAUAUUUUACCCUGAAUUUUUGGAUAUUUUGCGGUUCUUAGUUUUAUUAUCUGAGCCGAACCAAAAAUAGGUCAGGUAGUAAAUGGAUCCUUUAGUCCUCUAUCUGAACUAUCUUAUACCCGAAAUGCUCGAAUCAAACUGAACCGAUACCUGAAAUGCUCAUGCCUAAUAAUAGUACAUAGACAAUCUUUUCACAAAGGUGCAGUUAUAAUUAGCAAGAUUUGCUGAAAUUCUACAUCUUACAUUGAUUCUUUGUCUUUAAUCGAAUAUAAUGUUUGUUGAUUUUACCCAUUUUCCCUUUUAGUAGUGUCUUUUCCUUCAUUUUGUCAGAAAAGUUUGCAAAAUAUUGAUGUUGUCUGGCGCCGGCCUUACGUGGAAGGAGAGCAAGAAUGUGCUUGGAGCCUUUCAUCAUCAUAAGUAUUUAAAGGGGCAAUAAUUUCCCAAGUCUGUGUUGGAUCAGUUAGAAAUAAAAGAUUUUGGUGUAGAGCUGAAAGUUUCGGUUCCAUCCAACAUUUCUCAAUGUUUUUGAAUUAUUGGAUGUCACGUCAGGGCAGGCGCCGAUGUUGUCCGUAUCGCAGGUUUUCUUUGCACCAUAGGUCGACGUCAUGGUAGUAUCAUCGCAGAUGCCAGUGUCCCGUAUAUAUAUACAUAUAUGUUUGAAUUUUAGAAAAUUGAGUACCUGCGAAUUUUGAUUUGUAAAACUCAUAUACAAAGCAGAUUUCCACAUCAUCAGUCUCCAAAAAUACCUUUUUGUACAUAAGUAACAUAACUAUAACUUUUUGUUUGUACAACUCUUCCAAAGAUAAUCAUGUGUAUCCUUAAACCUAUAUAUAAAAGGGGGAGAAGUUAAAGUCUUCCGCCAAAACCUCCUUGGAGAUAACGAUCUAAUUAAAUAACAAAGAUACUCAAGAUUUGUUCGUGUUGAUUUCCCACUCAUUAUGUCAUCAUUCAGCAAUAUCCUUACCACAAGUCAAAUGACUUGAAGAUGGGUAUAAUCUAAAGGAGUUCUCAUGUGUGUUGUAGAACUACAAACUCUAUUCCCUUGUUUAUUAGAUUCUCACAAACAUGUUGGUGUUCUCUGUACCUCGAUUUUUCUUCACAACAUGGGUUAUUGUAGUUUCCCUGCAGAUGCAUGGAUAUAGAAGUUGCAUCGAGAAGGAAAGGAAGGGAUUGUUAGAGCUGAAUGCCUAUGUCAACUCCGAGUUUCCGUAUGAUUGGCCUAAUGACACGGACAGCGACUGCUGCCAAUGGGACAGAGUCAAGUGUAAUUUUACAACUGGAAGUGUGGUUGGCCUCUUCUUGAAUUCUACAUACACCGUUCGUCCCCUGCUAAAUCUUUCAUUGCUCUAUCCUUUUCGAGAACUAAAGACUCUAAAUUUAGAUUAUUUCAACUCCACAGGCUGGUUCGAUAAUAUCCAUGGUAUAUCUCUGGAUUCAGUUUUUUUUCAUCUCUGUGGCUAACUUUCUAUCUACACAUUUCAAAAUUUUAUUGGGUUUUGUUUUGUAGGUUAUAAAAGCCUUGGGAAAUUGAAAAAGCUUGAGAUCCUUGAUCUAAGAGUGUGAAUGGUGAGGCAGAUCGUUAGCAGAUGUCCUGCACAUUAGUAUUUUUUGUACUGCCACAGCCAAUCACAGUUUUUAACUUUUCCAGAAAAGAAAAGCAGGAGACCUGCCCAAUGGGUGGGAGAUAAAAAAAGAAGGUGCAUUAACUUUGUGCUGUCUUGUGCCUCAAUCAUUAUUUUCAGCUUAAGGGUGGAAGUUAAAAAAGACUGUCGUAGAUUUGUGCUAUCCUCUGCUAAUAGUGUUGUGCCUCAAUUCUCUCCAACAUAAGGUAAAUUACUUUUUAUUGUUAUUGUUAUUUAUAUUUAAUUAAUUAUAUUAAUUAUUUUUGUUCAAAUAUAAUAUAUCGUAAUAAGAAUAUUUAUUUGGAAAACUCUCUAUAUAUAUGAUACAUUUUGGUUUUUUUGAACGUUUUAUUUUAGAGUUUAAGCUAUAUUUUAUGCAUGUAAAAAAAUAAUAUAACUAUAUAUAUAUAUAUAUAUAUAUAUAUUAACUGAAAAGAGAAAAUGUGUCAUAUUUUAAUUCAACCUAUUAAAAAUUGAAAGUAUAUAUAAAAAGAGAGAUAUUUUGAAAAAUAUAUUUUCAAUGUAAAACAUAUACAUGUAAAUUAUUAGUAUAAUACUUUAUACUUGUAUCAAUUGGAAAAAGAUAUGUGUUACAUUUUAAUUCACAUAAAAUGUAAAACCGAAAAUAAAAAACAAAUAAAUAUAGAUGACAUUAUAAUUAUUUUUUUAGAAAGUAAUACAUUUAUUAUUAAGAUAUUAUUUCUAAAUUUAUCAGUCAUAAAUUAAUAUGAUUUUGUACGAAAAAAUGAUUUUGUAUUAUAAAAUCAAUAUAAACAUCUCCAUUUUUUUAAUAUAGAUUUUAUGGUUAAAUUUAAAUAUCAACUUGGAGAUCAUUUUAGGAAAUCAUGUGCUAUUCUUGAUUCCAACGGUCUUUGAUAUCUACCAAAAUCCACAUGCAUGUUUAACUAUCAAACUGAUUUUAAAUCUAUGUUUUCAUGUUUUGCUUAUAAAGAUAGUUCCUAAUUAGAUCGAUCUAAUAUUAUUUAUAAAAUUUUAAAAUUGUAGAUAUGACGUCAAAUCAUCGACAAAGUACAACAUUUUCUGAUGAAGAAGAUAUAAAUCUACCUACUGAAACGUCAGUACGGGUAAUUAUAUAUUAUUUUUUUAACGUUUUAGAAUAGUUAAUAAAUACUAAAAUAAAAUGAUUCAAAAUUGUGUAAAUUUAUAGAGGGAAGACAAUUUUAAAUGGAAUCCUAACCGAGAACGAGUAUUUAUUGAGUUGUACGAUCGAGCGAUUUCCAUGAGCGAUUAUCGUUUCAAAGAUCCUACAUCCGCCGGUAAAGAGUUUGUCGUUGCUAAGUUCAACCAAAUGUAUAAUAUCAGCGUAAACUACCGGUUCUUCAAAGAAAAACUUGAUCAGCUGAAAAGAAAAUACAAAAAGUACAAGCAUCUAAUGAAAAAUUCUACGGGUAUUUCGGUUGAUCCUACGACAUCUGUGAUAUCUGCGUCUGAUUCAUGGUGGAAAGAUCGUGAAGUAAGUACAAACAAUAUCCAUUACAACCAAAAUAUAUUUAAAAAAUAACAUAUCUAUAAUAUUUGUAAGCUAAAAACUACAUAAUCUUAUUAACAGGUAGAUAGGAUUGUAAAAUCAUUUAAACGAAAACCACCGGAGCUUUGGGAUGUGAUGCAACGAUGUUUCGUAUUAUACGACGUCCAAUCACAAUCUCAAUACUCCUUGCACCAAAGAAGAGAAGAGUUGCUGAAUGAUGGUCAAAAUAAUGAUGAAACUGAAACAUAUGGCGGUGAUAUGCAAGACACUCAGGUCCAGGAGACACAAGAAAGCGAAGAAGUCUAUCGCGUUAAUAUUGAUGAUGAAAUGCGUCAUUCAAAUCAGUUCACCCGUGAGAAUUUGCGUCAGAAUUCUUCACCAGCUGCUGAUCAUUUUCAGAUUCCUACUUCUAGAGUUCAACAACGAAGUGGACUAAGGCGUGGAAGUAGUUCACAAAGAGGUGCAGGAACCUCCCGGAUCGCUGCCAGGAGUGGAUCCCAAGGAAGUCGUAGAAAACAAUCAUUCGAGACAACUCUGACAGAUACGAUGACGGGCUUUAGAGAGUUUCAGCGCCAAAGUUUGCAACAACUACGUCCAAAUUCUUUUGAUGAAGAUGAUUACAAUGAAUUCGAUAAUGCGGUGAAGAUAUUCGAAUCAAUGGAUCUUCCAAAUGACACCAAUUUCUAUUGGGCGUGCAUUCAUGCAUUUAAAGAAGAAAGAUUUUGGCGUAAGUACUUUAUUGACAGAGCCGAAAGAACCACAUAAGAUAAGUUGAAGUUUUUACAAGCUCUUAGUGGAUAUACACCGGACGGCGAAUUCGUGGGAAAGCGGUUAGAAUCUGGCCAAAAGUUUGGUAGUCCAACUUGUGGGCAAUGGAAUUCUGGUUUUCAACAAUGGGGAACACCUCCAAGUGCCCCGCAAUGGGGAACACCGCCAAAUGCGCCGCAAUGGAGUUCACCUUCAAAUGCUCCGCAGUGGGGUCCACCGCCAAAUGCUCCACAAUGGGGUACACCGCCAAAUGUUCCGCAGUGGGGUACACAACCUUUUCCACAAUGGGGUGCGCCUCAAAAGGAAGUUCCUGUUUCCGAGAAUGUUAUCAGAGGAGUUUCACCAGAAUUCACAAACUAUGCUUCUACAAGUAAAGCAUCACGUCCACGAAGACGAGGAGGAUUAUUCAAUAUCUGGGGAACUGAACGAGGACUAAAUCUAAAUGAAACACAAGAAAGUGAUUCCACAUCGGAUAACUAGCUUAAUAAGAUUCGUGCUUUGUUUGUAGUCGUUAUGUUUUGUUUUAUAUUUUCUUUUGUAAUGUCUGUUAUGUAUUGUAUUUUUGAUUAAGGAUAUUUCUCAUUGAUUUAAUUUUUUAUUUUGUGGUUAAAAUUUUCAGGCUUUU
Molecule: RNA transcript, 11363 nt
Organism: Brassica rapa (field mustard)
Lineage: Eukaryota; Viridiplantae; Streptophyta; Magnoliopsida; Brassicales; Brassicaceae
Source: RefSeq, a predicted model, not a curated record